Long non-coding RNA from Solanum lycopersicum (tomato), 1088 nucleotides. RefSeq lists it as uncharacterized. The record is from RefSeq and is a predicted model, not a curated record. NCBI's taxonomy places the organism in Eukaryota, Viridiplantae, Streptophyta, Magnoliopsida, Solanales, Solanaceae.
ACACAAGAAGAGAAAAGAGUUUAUUGGAGGGUUACAUAAUUUUUUGAGUCAAAUAUCAUGUAAAGCUGCCCUUGAAGAAACAAACUAGUGGCCGCCUCCUUUUCCAAAGCAGCAGCACAUAUCCAAGACAUAACCACAAGAUAGCUAUGGUGUUGGAGGAUCCAUCCCCUGAUCAGAUUUCAGGUUCCACUCAACUAAUCAUCCCUCCAGUUGGUUUGAUGGAGCUUGGGUGAUUGAACAAUAGUAGCAAUGUGAUUGAGGCAAUAAGGAAUGAGAUUGAUAAAGAGCGUAUAAGGAACGAGAUCAUUGUAGAAGAGGUUGCUUGAAAAGCAGAUGUUGGACUUUGAAAUAAGGAGAGAGCUUAUCAUGGAAAGAGAAAUAGCAAUAUUUGGAGUUGAUAAAUUUGCUUCAUUCUUUAAGAAACAGUCUAACUUCGUGUUGUUUAAGGAAAAGAUGGGAAUGGGCGUCUCUGCUGUGUCUAUACAUGACAUGGAUCACUUCUUAGAGGUUCCUUUUUGCCGCAGUGCUUUGGAACCAAUAAUUCAACAGUGAACCAAAUCCCAAAGGUGGAGAUUUUACAAGUGCAGCCCCCUAGUGUUGGCGGACAGUUGCUGAUGGACGCACUGGGUUAGAAUUUUAAGUUGGUAUUUACUUUCAGCUGUGUGUAGUUUCUCAUGCAUGAAAUUGGCCGAAUCUACUCUGGCUCCGAGCUCUGUGCUGACUAAAUCAGCAACCUAACUAUAAUUGUUGCCCUUGGCUUUAUGCCUUUUUCCUUAGUUUUAUGCCUUCUUGAUAGAUUUUCCUCUUUCUUAGGAUAACCCACACUUCCUUCAUGGUUCUUAUUGUAGCAGUUGAGGCAUGGUUGGAAUUUAAACAUUAUUUGUGGGUCAUCUGAGGGAUUGACACAUUGAAAGACAUUGAAAUAUUGUCUUGUCAGUGUGUAUGUCAGAGAAGGGGCCUUUAAACUAAUGAUUCAUGAAAAACAGAAUCAUCUCUAGUUUGUGAAUCCUGAAACACAGACAGUUAAUGACCUGAAAGUGCAAAGAUUAUUUUUUGUGAAACUAAUGAAUCAUGCCUAGAUUUCCUAA